This 329-nucleotide ribosomal RNA is filed under the name uncultured bacterium. RNAcentral describes it as "bacterial SSU rRNA". It matches the Rfam family "Bacterial small subunit ribosomal RNA", at positions 28 to 334 of the family's 1533-position model. The record is from RNAcentral.
GACGAACGCUGGCGGCGUGCUUAACACAUGCAAGUCGAACGGAGCGUCUUUGAAGGAGACUUUCGGUCAAUGGAUGAGAUUGCUUAGUGGCGGACGGGUGAGUAACGCGUGAGGAAUCUGCCUCGGAGUGGGGAAUAACAGUUGGAAACAGCUGCUGAUACCGCAUAAUGCAACGGAAUCGCAUGACUCUGUUAGCCAAAAGAUUUAUCGGCUCUGAGAUGGCCUCGCGUCUGAUUAGCUAGUUGGCGGGGUAACGGCCCACCAAGGCGACGAUCAGUAGCCGGACUGAGAGGUUGGCCGGCCACAUUGGGACUGGAGACACGGCCCAG